ACAGAGCUGGACUCUCUGGACAUUCUAUUAUUACAGAAUGUCCGAGCACCUUUGGUAGUUCGAUAUAACUGUUUUCUUACUUCCUGUCAAAGCCACUUUAAAUCACUCAAAUUCACUUUAAAUCACCGUGCCUUGAAAUGUGUAACUACUGCAUUUUGAAUACUUGAAUUUCAUUUAGUAUUCUAUAGAUUUUAAAAUUAUAAAUGUUUUUUAUAGUAUUGUACAGCAAGAUUUUCAGAGUAUAUACUAAUAACCUUUAAUGUUAAUGUUACUAACCUGUCUUUUUGGGCUGCACAGUGACGUAGUGGUUAGCACUUUCUUGCUUUUUCUGUAGGUGGGUACGUUGUCCCGUUAAAUGUUUAACGGAGCCCUUCGAACACAUGGAACCUCAAGCUGCACGACAGCUAAGUUGCUAUGCUAAGUGCAGGACGACAACGUGGUGCCCCAAAAUAUGAAAACAUAAUGUUUCAGCUACCAGAUAAAUACACAAAUAGUUAACCAUGACUAUCGUCUGUCUCGCUCUGUACCAUAGCAUUGUGAAGCGGUUGACUAACUUAGUUACCCAUUGUAAGUAGGAAUAACAGUAGGUUCAAAUCCCGGCCUGGGCCUGGGAUCUUUCUGCAUGGAGUUUGCAUGUUCUCCCUGGGCAUGCGUGGGUUUUCUCCGGGCACUUCGGCUUCCUCCCACAGUCCAAAAAUAUACUGAGGUUAACUGGUUACUCUAAAUUGUCCGUAUGUGAGUGUGAUUGUUUGUCUAUAUAUGUAGCCCUGCGACGGACUGGCGACCUGUCCAGGGUGUAGAUCAGUGGGGUGUCCCCUGCCUUCGCCCGAGUCAUCUGAGAUAGGCUCCAGCUACCCCCCAUGGAUGCAUCAACACUAAGUAGUGCAGCAUACUUUAUACUCUGACUUAAGAGGAUGUUUAUUCUGAUACGUUGUGAUAAACUGAACAUCCAAUUUGUAAAAUUUCACAGAAAUAUGUAACAGGAUAGAAUUAUGAAGUGAUAACAUUUUAGAUCUGAAAGGUCAGCUUAAUGUUUUGCAACAAGUUGUGGGGCCAACAGUUACAGAGUAGGGUGUUGUGACCAUGUUUCAUAUGUGCUCGAUUUUUAGGUGUCUGUGGUGAUCUUCCGUGCUACUUGGUUAAUGUUGUGUGUAAAGCAUCCAUGUCUAAGAAUUUGUAGCUUCACUGCAGCUAUAUCUAUAUUUUAAAACAUUGGCUACUGUCAUCUUUGUGCUCCAUUAGAAUCAGCAUUAUUGACUUUCAGUUCACGAAAUUACUGAAUUUCCCAGUUGCCUUGAACGUGUAUCUAUCGAAAAGCUGCUUGAACUGUCGUAACAAUCCUAUAAAUCCGUGUGCUACUCGACAGAGGAUCUCUUCUCGAUCUGUUCUCUGCUGAAGUGAAGUAGGGAAAUGUGCACAAUGGGAUAUGACCUAAUUGUUGAAUGUGAGGAGGCGCUGAUGUCCCACAGUAUGUGCUGCCACUCUUGUGAUUGAGGUUUUGGAGAUGGCUGUAGUCCUGCUCACCCUUUGCAGGUUUCAUCAACAUCUUGGCCUUCUGCACAGAUGCAGUAAUAUAAUCAAAGGAUGACUUCCUGAUCCCAGACAUCAGUAAGGAUUCCCAGCAAAGGUGAACAUUGAAAUAAGAGUCAUAGAAUAUAAGCCAGAGUCCCGCCCGUUUCUCUCUCAGGCGAGCACAGAGGUGCUGAUGCAUGCUUUUAUAUCUUGUCGCUUGGAUUACUGUAAUGCCCUGCUCUCUGGUCUCCCAAAAAGUAUAUCGAAUCUUCAAUUAUUACAAAAUUCAGCUGCACGAGUGCUGACGAGUACCAGAGGGCGGGAGCAUAUUACACCAGUUUUAAAAUCGCUGCAUUGGCUUCCCGUGUGCUUCAGGAUCAAUUUAAAGGUCUUUUAUUAGUUUCUAAAUGUUUUAAUGGUCUUGGGCCUUCUUAUUUAUCAGACUUACUUUUACCAUAUCAACCCUCUCGGGCCCUGAGGUCCUCUGGUGUGGGUCUUUUAUCUAUACCAACAAGUUAGAUCUAAAACACACGGGGAGGUGGCAUUUGGUUACUAUGGUGCCGUUUGUGGAACAGCCUGCCGGAGAGC
Long non-coding RNA from Acanthochromis polyacanthus (spiny chromis), 2100 nucleotides. RefSeq lists it as uncharacterized. Lineage: Eukaryota; Metazoa; Chordata; Actinopteri; Pomacentridae. The record is from RefSeq and is a predicted model, not a curated record. The transcript has 5 exons.